UACGAAGGGGGCUAGCGUUGCUCGGAAUCACUGGGCGUAAAGCGCACGUAGGCGGAUUGUUAAGUCAGGGGUGAAAUCCCGGGGCUCAACCCCGGAACUGCCUUUGAUACUGGUAGUCUCGAGUCCGGAAGAGGUGAGUGGAAUUCCGAGUGUAGAGGUGAAAUUCGUAGAUAUGUGGAGGAACACCAGUGGCGAAGGCGACUCUUUGGUCUGUAACUGACGCUGAGGCGCGAAAGCGUGGGGAGCAAACAGG
This 253-nucleotide ribosomal RNA is filed under the name uncultured bacterium. RNAcentral describes it as "partial 16S ribosomal RNA". It matches the Rfam family "Bacterial small subunit ribosomal RNA", at positions 524 to 776 of the family's 1533-position model. The record is from RNAcentral.